This 838-nucleotide long non-coding RNA is filed under the name Sus scrofa (pig). Its description in RNAcentral is "lncRNA (ENSSSCG00000047290.2)". The record is from RNAcentral. Lineage: Eukaryota; Metazoa; Chordata; Mammalia; Artiodactyla; Suidae.
GAUUGGUGGAGCCCAGACCAACCGAGAAAGAUGGGUCCGCGUCUGAAACAAAGCACGCGAAGUGUUUUCCGAAGAACCGAGAAGGGGAAAAGCAGUUGGGGCAGCUUGUGUCCCGCUGCAAGGAGUAGGAGAGUCAGCUCUUCCCUUGCGCCCCACGCUACUCGUCGGGAUCUCCUGUUUGUCGCGCACGCCUCGGAACGGCUUUCUGCAGGAGCUGAGUCCUCGCUGAACUUCGACUGAGACUUCUCUUGCUGUUUCCUACAGCUAGAACCUGGAUAAAGAAUCGACGCAUCUUCAUUUACAGCAAACCCUCUGAUCCUUGUGGAUGACUGGCUUGCUGUUCUUGGAUGAGCUAAUUCAGAAGAAAAAAUGGCACUUCAACAGAAUUUGGCAGGAGGAGACAGAACCAGAACCAGAAGCAGAACAUAAGGGAAUGGAACAUUGGGCUGGAUGAUCUCAGAGAUGAGCUCAGCUCAUUCCCUCGUAUCCCAGCUUCGCUCCCGGACAAUGCAAAGUCAGUCUCUCACCUUGCUGCCACUGUGUGGCCCCUUUCCAAAGAUGGCCAGUCUCGAAGGAGAGGCUGGACAAAAAGACAGUAGUUGGAGUUCCCGUUGUGACUCAGCAGUAACAAACUCGACUAGUAUCCAUGAGGAUGCAGGUUCGAUCCAUGGCCUUGCUCUGUGGGUUAAGCAUCUGACAAUACCGUGAGCUGUGGUGUAGGCUGCAGACUUGGCUGGAAUCAGGCGUUGCUGUGGCUGUGGAAUAGGCCACCAGCUGUGGCUCCAGUUCGACCCCUAGCCUGGGAACUUCCAUAUGCCGAGGGUGCGGCCCUAAAAAG